Molecule: long non-coding RNA, 1519 nt
Filed under: Mytilus galloprovincialis (Mediterranean mussel)
Lineage: Eukaryota; Metazoa; Mollusca; Bivalvia; Mytilida; Mytilidae
Source: RNAcentral
UAAAAACAAACACAACAAUAAAUAUAAAACAUCCAUCUUAACUAUAGUCAAAAUAUUGAAAUACCAAUUGCACACAUCCCUACAUGUUCAGGAAAAAAAACAAUUAAAAUCACCGGUCAAACGAUUCCAUAGGUUUGUUUGUUCGUGUACUUCAUACGACGUUGCUAUAGUAUGUUCAUCAACAAUCCAAUCAUGCUUGCAAUAUAACCUUGCAUCUUUCGUCAGGACUCGUACUAACAAAAGAAAAACAUAGAAAAAGAUAAAAAUACGUUAUAGCAAAUUAAUUUAUCAUUCCGAAAUCGUGAAAAUAAAACAUGUCGAAUAUAGAUAUGCUUUAUAUUGCAAUAUGUCUUAUGCUGUUGGUUCUAUUAGGUCAAAAUUGAAAGCACUGCUAUAAACGAUAUGCUAUAUAAUAAUUAUCAAGCUAUCUGGAGGGAAAUUUGUGUCAAUGUGCGACAUUUGAGAUGCAAUCACACCUUCCACCCGAAUAGUUCUAAACAAACUAUAAAAAUGGCAGCUAUUAACAUUUUGUUUUUAUCAUUUUUCUCUUUAAGUCUUUGAAAGUGGUUAUUGUUGUAAUAGAACAGUUUGCUGCCAAACAGUGCAACGUAUCUCAACCAGUACUGUCGAAUUAUAUAUCAGUAGUUACGGCGGUACAUUAAAACAUGUGUAUACAGAGUAACAUCACAAAAUGGUUGCUCCGUUGGCUUGUAUACAAAGUUGUUGAUGUGUUUAUAAGUUAUUGCAAGCGCAAACUAUUGAAGAAAUUGGUAACGUCUGGUCAUACAGUUCUUUAACUGUUUUGACGCAAUUGACGAUUUCCAAUUUUCGGCUUUAAGCGUUCCUUGAUAAGAUUUAUUGAGAAAAGUACUUCUGGCGCAUGAAAUGCAUAACGCGGCAUUUUUACAACAUUUAGCUGUCCCCGAGGUUAUCAUUCGCUCAAUUGUUAGUACUUCGAUAAUGAUUUAAUGCUCAGUGUAAUUAUAACUUCCACUUGUUUAAUUGUUUGAGAAAAUAUUGCAUAUACAUGAUAUAGGGUCGAAGAAAAAAUAGUCGAUCCAUGCAGUAAGUAAAUGGUAGAGAAAUAAACAAUAUCCCCUAAAAAGAAUAUAGUGAAUAAAUCUAGUUGGAAAGGUUAUGUACAAAUAAAACUUUUAAAGAGACUCAACGACCAUUUUCGAAAAUGGGUAGGAAAAAGCGUGUUCCAAUAAAACGUAUGCUAUAAUUAAGCUCAAAACUAUUACCUUUUCUUGUUCUUAAUUUUAGCAGUACACUCCGCAUCAUGCUCAUCUCUUGCUUAUAUGGUAUUAAGUUUAUAUGCUCUGGUCAUACGCACAUACAAUAAGAAAAUGAUACCUUGAAUUAAUUAUUUGCAUAAUUUUCUUUAUUAGCAUCAAGAUAAAACUUUACUUCAAUAAAUUUGAAAUGUCAUUAUUCAUCCACUUGUAUAUAUAAUGCAAACAAUAAGUAAAUAAAUAAGCUUUAAAAUGUUUGUAUGUUGCUUUAAUAUAAUUAAUGA